UGUGUGUGUGUGUGUGUGCGUGUGUUCUCAUUUCCGCUUCCCCUUUCUGAGCUGGCAACAGCAGUUUAAUGAGGACAGAGAGAAAGGUACAACAUGCAAUAUGAUAUUUUGUCAUUGUCCUCACUCAGACCCCGAUACCUGGGAAGGGCUUGGCCCGACUUUGCUAACUGCUCUGCCUCAAACUCUGCUCUCUGCCUGCAGACCCGUCCCAUUCUCGUGCUUGUAACUGUGAACUAGUGGAAAGACCCCGCCUAAACCGGUGCUGCUUUGUGUGGGGGGACUACUGUCCUCCGAAGCUGCAGGAGAAAGCUGGCCAGGAGAUAAGCUACAGCAAGACAGGCUGGGCGUCGAUAGGAGGGAGAAGUCACACGCUGGACGGUGCCAGGCCAGCUUCACUGGAAGGCUCAAGAGUGAUAACCAUCUGUGGGGGUUGUCUCUCAGGCUGUACAUCUCAGAGGAGGAUGGAGGGAUUGAACGGCUGCUUUAGACCAUAGGAGUCUCGGAAUGCUCCAAUGCUAGGCUCAGGGGAAUUUUUGUUCUGAAGAUCUUCCCGACUGCAGUGACAUGGACGAGAACUAGAAAUUAGGAAUGUAUUUCCUAUCUAUGAAGGAAUGUGAGAACAUUUUGCAGGUUGGGGUGUGUGCCGAAUGGGGUGCAGUCAACCUGGCUUGAGGUGGAGGUUGUCCCAUCUGCAGCAAAAUGGCGGUCCUGGGGUUUCCCACAGCCCUUUGCAAUGGAGCUGAUAUGUGCAUAUCUUGGCUGUAAAUGGGGAUAAGAUGCAG
Molecule: long non-coding RNA, 782 nt
Filed under: Ursus maritimus (polar bear)
Lineage: Eukaryota; Metazoa; Chordata; Mammalia; Carnivora; Ursidae
Description: lncRNA (ENSUMAG00000001503.1)
Source: RNAcentral